AUCACUUCUCGGCCUUUUGGCUAAGAUCAAGUGUAGUAUCUGUUCUUAUCAGUUUAAUGUAAUGUUACUGUUUUAUCCCUUUGUAACCGAUUAAAUUUAUUAUGGGAAGAUGCUUU
This 116-nucleotide small nuclear RNA is filed under the name Catagonus wagneri (Chacoan peccary). RNAcentral's name for it is "U2 spliceosomal RNA (ENSCWAG00000020579.1)". It matches the Rfam family "U2 spliceosomal RNA". Rfam says of the family: U2 is a small nuclear RNA (snRNA) component of the spliceosome (involved in pre-mRNA splicing). Complementary binding between U2 snRNA (in an area lying towards the 5' end but 3' to hairpin I) and the branchpoint sequence (BPS) of the intron results the bulging out of an unpaired adenosine, on the BPS, which initiates a nucleophilic attack at the intronic 5' splice site, thus starting the first of two transesterification reactions that mediate splicing. The record is from Rfam by way of RNAcentral. Lineage: Eukaryota; Metazoa; Chordata; Mammalia; Artiodactyla; Tayassuidae.